RNAcentral lists this ribosomal RNA (433 nucleotides) under uncultured bacterium. RNAcentral's name for it is "partial 16S ribosomal RNA". It matches the Rfam family "Bacterial small subunit ribosomal RNA", at positions 29 to 507 of the family's 1533-position model. The record is from RNAcentral.
AACGAACGCUGGCGGCAUGCCUAACACAUGCAAGUCGAACGAGACCUUCGGGUCUGGUGGCUCACGGGUGCGUAAGGCGCGGGAACCUGCCCUUAGGUUCGGAAUAACUCCCAGAAAGGGGUCCUAAUACCGGAUAAUGUCUUCCGACCAAGGAUUGAUCGCCUUUGGAUGGGCCCGCGUUGGAUUAGCUAGUUGGUAGGGUAAAUGCCUACCAAGGCGACGAUCCAUAGCUGGUCUGAGAGGAUGAUCAGCCACACUGGGACUGAGACACGGCCCAGACUCCUACGGGAGGCAGCAGUAGGGAAUAUUGGACAAUGGGCGAAAGCCUGAUCCAGCAAUGCCGCGUGAGUGAUGAAGGCCUUAGGGUUGUAAAGCUCUUUUACCCGGGAUGAUAAUGACAGUACCGGGAGAAUAAGCUCCGGCUAACUCCGUG